RNAcentral lists this small RNA (49 nucleotides) under Beijerinckia indica subsp. indica ATCC 9039. Its description in RNAcentral is "ffh sRNA". It matches the Rfam family "ffh sRNA". Lineage: Bacteria; Pseudomonadati; Pseudomonadota; Alphaproteobacteria; Hyphomicrobiales; Beijerinckiaceae. The record is from Rfam by way of RNAcentral.
AAACCCCGGCCACGCCCGGCAGCGCGUUGCGCCCCCGGGCGCGUUUUGC